Molecule: ribosomal RNA, 550 nt
Filed under: Rhinella mirandaribeiroi
Lineage: Eukaryota; Metazoa; Chordata; Amphibia; Anura; Bufonidae
Description: partial large subunit ribosomal RNA
Rfam family: Bacterial large subunit ribosomal RNA
Source: RNAcentral
GCCUGCCCAGUGACCAUGUUCAACGGCCGCGGUAUCCUAACCGUGCGAAGGUAGCGUAAUCACUUGUUCUUUAAAUGUGGACUAGUAUGAACGGCACCACGAAGGUUAUACUGUCUCCCCUUUCUAAUCAGUGAAACUAAUCUCCCCGUGAAGAAGCGGGGAUAAUUCUAUAAGACGAGAAGACCCUAUGGAGCUUUAAACAACACAGCACUUACUAAAUAUCCUUUAAUGUUCCUGUANACUUUNAACUCUUUAAAGUAAGGUGACUGCAAGUUUUCGGUUGGGGUGACCACGGAGUAUAUCAUAACCUCCAUGUUGAAAGAACUUUNNUCUAAGCCAAGAAUAACCAAUCUAAGCAUUAACAAAUUAACAUCUAUUGACCCAAUAAAUUUGAUCAACGAACCAAGUUACCCUAGGGAUAACAGCGCAAUCCACUUCAAGAGCUCCUAUCGACAAGUGGGUUUACGACCUCGAUGUUGGAUCAGGGUAUCCCAGUGGUGCAGCCGCUACUAAAGGUUCGUUUGUUCAACGAUUAAAACCCUACGUGAUC